AUAGUACGACCGAGGUUGCGUUUACCUUUCUCACUUUCUGGUCAUUUUCUCCCUCGCGCGCCCCCGCCCUUCCCAAUUCUCGCGCGCGCCCAACUUCCUCUCUCUACCCCGCGCGCGUCGCUGCCCCGCCGUCGCACCGCCAUGAAGGAUUCCGUCCCUGCGCCGAGAUCCCGGUCGCUGCUGACCGCGGCGAGCCGGUAGCGGGCGCAAGGGCGGCGCGCCGCUGCCGCACGCGCGGCGAAUCAGGCCGCCUCUAUCCGAGCUGCACCGCCCCCUCCACCUCCUUCUGCUGCCCCAGUUCUGGCCCCGUCUCCGGCCAUGGAAGAAGGCUCGCCUCCGGCCAUGGCGGGCGGCUGCGAUGCCUACGUGGAUGUGGAGACGAUGUACGCUGGCGUGGCACUCACCGGCGUUGCGCCGGCAGCCUUGCUUCACCCAGAACGGCACAGGCAUGGGCACCCGCAACCUGUUCGAUGAUAUGCCCGAACAGACACAGGAGUAUCAAGAAGAGUGUAUGAUGGAUUUGAUCAAUGGAGCACCAGCUAGAACCAAUAGCUGCAUCUUCACGCGGCAGUCGAGCAGCCCAUAGAUAAGCUUCUGAUUUGCAAGCGGCAAGGGACCUGCGCUAGAUCUAUAAAGCUCUUAAUAUCACACGGAGGCUAGGUGUGUGCUUGGUACAAUUAAACUGCCGUGCAUUUUGUGUUGAAUUUUGGAGGCUAGAGAUGGGUAAGCUUCCGGCGAUGAAGGAGAGCAAAACAUGGACGUGGGGACUGAGCAGGGAUGAGGUUCAGAGAUUGUGAAUGGAACCGCGUUGGGGGCGGCAGCAGUGGCCAGCUCCACCGGGGUGCCGUGCUCUUCGACCUGCUGUGCCCGGCGGCCAUGGCGCCAAGAAUGGCUACCAGGACCAUCGCAAUCCCUUUGUGGCUCCACGCGAGAGGUUGAAGAUUAUAAAACCCAGCAGCGAGCUCACCUGGCUGCGCUAGCCACCCGAGUCUAGCUCGGUUCUCACAGCUACAUUGCUAGAGUUGCUAGAUGUGAAAGUUUCUUGUGUCACUGUUUUAACCCAGAUCCAAGUAUAUUUUGCUAGUAAUAAAAGAAUACUAGUUCUUGUUCUUGAAAUUGCCUAGCACAUUUUUCCUCAGCUAAGACAUACUAAUACUAGUAUCUGUUUAUUGUGCUGAGCUAGUACAAUCAAGAGAUUUGCCCCCAUUGUAGGUGUUUUGUGCUCUGGUUAAAUGAAGAUAAUUUUUUUUUCUAGGCUGUGUCUGUGAAACAACUCACCUUAAUCCCGAUGAAGUUUAGCUCUAGACAUGUGUUCCCUCAAGUUCUUCUCGAUCCAAUUGAUCCAUUUUUUUUUGGGGGAUGAUUCAAUUGAUCCUAAUCUUGCGUUUUCUCUUGACUUCCACCCCUAGUCAGCUCUCUUUUCUGUCACCUAGUGUCAACCUGUAUGGCUGGUCAGUUAACCAUUUUGCUUGGAGGCCAGGAUUUUGAAGCAUGUAAGGUGGGUCUUCGUGUGCCUCUACUCUUGGGGAGAGAGUCACUUCAACUUUUACUGGGUUCUUACACAUAUAUUGACUUCCUUUGACUCCGUCUGUUUGCUGCCCAUACACUGGACAGUUGAGCUGCUCGUUCUAGAAACUUUUUAUAUAAUUCGUGGUCAGGUGCAUGAAUAGUACAAUACAUAGUAUAUAUUUGGUGGGAAAGAAGUGGAAUGCUCUGUGUAACUGGUUGUGAGAGAGAAUGUUGGUGUGUAUGUUAUUUGGUGAAGCUACAUUGAUUUGCAUUUGUACAUAAUUAGCUCCAAGAAUUAACAUAGAUUUAUGUAUGUUCAUGUCAAGGUAUAUCAAAUUACCAGCUUGAUGUAAUUAAGAGGAACUUAUUGUUUAUUUAACUAUGGUUAGUUAUUUGUUAAAAAGGCGAGUCCUUACGCUAUCCAACGGUAAUCUUGGCAUGGAAAAAUCAAGUGACACCAGCCCAAAAAACAGUUAGGCAAGGGAUGCCAAAUUCCAUUAUAGAAAGUCCACAGAAAAUCAGACAAGAAUGUGGUCAAAUUUUUUCUGGUUAUUUAUUUUUGUAUGGUUGUAUGAUUUUGUUUGUCGCGAGGGUCCACUUCACAUAUGAUUGUGUAUGUGAAGUGAUUAAUCUAGUUGAAUUAGCAACAUAUCUCAGUGACAUAUAUAUAAGCAUGACAAGAUUACAUUUACAAAAUUAAAUCAUGCAUGCGUUGCUCCAUUCGAAGCAAGACAAAGUUACAUUGACAACAUUAAUUAGGGUACUCCCAAUGCAUUGUAUCUUAUAUUGUAUCUUAUGUAUUAAAUACACAUUUAGAUACAAUUACUCCAAUUUUUUGUAUCCUAGUGUUGUAUCUACAUCCUUUUAUUUAUUAUGUUCUGUGAGAGAGCAAUUAUGAUUUUUCUUAGGUUCAACGCUAAGAGUUGUAUCUAUAUUAAGAUACCAUGCUUUUCUCUUUCUUCAUUAAAUAGGGUGCCACAUCAGAUUUUUGCUUAGAUGACAUGUUAAGAUACGGUGCAUUGGGAGUGUCCUUAAACAACACAUGCUUUGCAUUAAUGGCUUUCAUAUUUUAAUGAGUAAUAUUCUCUAAAUCACCUACUCAGUAUUAAACUGUGAAGAGAUUUGUUAUUAUAGAGACCGACAGGUACCAAUACAUUAUUAGCUAGUAUAUCAAUGUUGGUGAGUCUUUUACGGUGUCACGAUAAACCCAUCAUUUUUGUAUAUCCUAAGACAAGGUAAAGAAAAACAAACUGACGCACCCACCAUUAUUUCUUUCUUUUCUGUUGGUACCGAAAUUAAUUACAUUAGCUAGUGAUGUAAUAACCAGAACAAUGCAACUUACAUGGGAUAAGUGGAGAACCACCGUACCGGAAUACAGAUGAUGGAUGACCCACGGCCGGCCGACUGCAGCAACGGCUUUGAUAUACUGGACUAUGAAUGCUUGCAAUGUAAGUAUAUAUGCAACUGUAUUCACGAUGAAAUGAAACAUCCAUUUAUAGCACAGCACAUGAAGCUAGGGCAGGAUCUGGUUGAGGCCACCAGCACAUCCGUCUUUAAUUUGGCUAACCAUCCUGAUUUGUUUUACAUUUUUCUUGCCCUUUCCUUUUCCUUUAUCUUUAUCUUUUAUUUAGAAUCUCGUGUCCUUCUCUCUACGUCAUGUAUCUUUGAUUUCACCUUAUCUGGGUCUAAAACAUGAACUGACACCAGGCUUUUUCGUUAAAAAGAAACAUGGACAUGAACAGUGAUUUGUUUUCGCAUUUUUCUUUACCAUUUCCUUUUCCUUUAUCCUUUUCUUUUAUGGACAGAAUCUCGUUUCCUUCACACUGGAUCAUGCAUGUACCUUUGCUUUCACAUCAUCUGGGUCUACAACAUGAACCAACACUCCGCACCUUUUUGUUAAAAUCAAAUACACCCUCUGUUUUUUUAAUAUAUGACGUUUAGGAAAAAAAAUUAGUAGUUCAUUUUGAACUAAAAUUGUUGUUGUCCUAAACGUCAUAUAUUUAAAAACGGAGGUACUAGUAAAUAUAAGCAGAUCUUACAUAUCCUCAAAGCUCAAUAAAUAUCCCAAUAAAUUCGUUGUCAAAGAAGGCCUUAAUCCUUGUUAACGCCUAGUAGAACUGUAAAUCUGUUAAUAUAAUACAAGACCAGCAUUUUUGGUAGGAAAAAAAGUCUAUUUACUAUUUUAGGUUGUUCACUUAAUCCUCUAAACUAAGUUUUAGUAUGAUUUACUACCCUGAACUAUUUAGAUUGGUUCAUUUCACCCCCUGUUGGAGCAGCUUGUUUUGUUUCGCUUCAUGUAUGUUACGUUUGAAGUUCAACUUUUGUGGAGCCAUAGAUGGCAACACAAUAUAUUUAAAAAAAUAUAUUUUGAGAACUUUUUAUGAUUAUUUUUAAUGGGUAUAGCAUUAUAACGUAAAUGAUCUUCUACGUAGGUUAUGAUAUCAUCUAAAAUAUAUCCAUAUUAAGUGACUCAAAUUUGCUCAAAUAUGAAUGUAUCUAUGUUUUAAAAACGUCUAUAUACAUGUAAUAUUUCGUCAUUUAAUAUGUGACGGAAGGAGUAUAAAAUUUGAGGAGCGGGAAGGGGUACGCGAGGAGGAAAGCUAAAUGUCAGAUUUUGAUAUGAGGUUAUGUGGGAUAAAAGUUAAAGUUAGAUAUUUUGUUUUUUUAGAAUUUCUAUUUGAUUUCUCUAAUUUUCUAACCCGCCAUGGUUGGAGGAUCAUCUUUUUUAUUAGUAAAUAGAUAGAGAGAAAAAAACAAAUUCAAUGAAAUUCAUUAUUGAAAAAAAAAGGACAAACCCAGAUCCAUCCUGCCCCUCGCUUCGGCUGGUUCGCCGCGCCCACCUCCGAGAUCUGGACAUGAGCAUCGGGACCUCGGUUGCGGCCAACGAUGGACACGACGCCGCGGUGGAUGCGUCGGUGUGCCUGCCUCCCUCUUGCAAGGUGGGACUUGCCCCUACAUCUCCAGAGCUGACACCCGUCUCAUGUUCGAUGGAAGGAACUUUUAGUCGGAAGCCAAAGUUCUCUGGCUCCUGGACGAUGGAACCCUAUGUUGCGCUAGGUUACUUCCUCACUCUCAAUUGUCCCAGUAGUCUUUAGGCUGAGGAGCAAGAUUUCUCGCAUCUAAAGUGGCAAAUUCUUUUGGCCAUAACCAUGAGUCACGUUGUUUCGGUCGGUCAGACCUAUCAGAAGCAAAAGAGGAGCCUGGCUGAGAAUCGCGCAAGAACUUGGCCAUCAGCAGCUACGCUCACCAGUCAGCCGCGCGUGGCAACAUGCAAAUGAUGCGCGGUCACCAUGCAUGAGCUCAUCGGGCUUCGAUACAGAGAGAGAAUUGCGUAUUGCCAAUGAUAAUUUGCCCGUAUACCUAAGAAUUUGCAUGUGAUACACAUAUGUUAUUAUCGUUAGUUGACUGCUAAUUGUCAGUUAAGUCAAUUUCAAAUUGACCGAAAUACCGUUGGGUCCACUGGUCAGGAAAAAAAAAUAGGCUGCUUUGG
This is a long non-coding RNA of Brachypodium distachyon (stiff brome), 4999 nucleotides long. RefSeq lists it as uncharacterized. The record is from RefSeq and is a predicted model, not a curated record. The transcript is spliced from 6 exons. Lineage: Eukaryota; Viridiplantae; Streptophyta; Magnoliopsida; Poales; Poaceae.